This is a long non-coding RNA of Bufo gargarizans (Asiatic toad), 203 nucleotides long. RefSeq lists it as uncharacterized. The record is from RefSeq and is a predicted model, not a curated record. The transcript is spliced from 3 exons. NCBI's taxonomy places the organism in Eukaryota, Metazoa, Chordata, Amphibia, Anura, Bufonidae.
CACAGCAUGACUCAUAUUAACCUUUGGAACCAUUUACCUGGAAUUACUAGGAACAAACAAAACCGAAAAUGAGGUGAACCUGGCUGCAAUCAUCAGUCUGUUGGAGGAAAGAUAUACGGUCUCCCAAGUAUCAAUUACCAGUCAGUAGCAUCUGCCAAGGUCAUAGCAUGUGACUGACCAGCAUUUUAACACCCCCUUUCAGG